UACAACCAUGAUCUACACACAACACUCUGUUCAAACAAGCCACCGUGUUGUCAAUGGUUGUAGACCCAACUCAGUGAGUUGCAACCAUUCCCAACCUUUGCCUCUUCUGUUUGACAACGCCUUCAUCAUCAAAUGUGACAAAUGUGUGGAAUUGUUUCCGGCUCUGGAUAUGUAACUUCAGUAACUGUGCCACAAACACCAUUAACCAACCCGUCACUGACGUCAAUAUUCUUUUAUAACAUGACUCAAGCACCUUGUCCUAAGGUCAAAUGUGCUGGCGAUUACGUCUUCUGUUUAACAGGCCAGUGAAUGCACCAACUUUCUCUCUGACAAUGGCUCUUAAUUCAACAAUUUUAAUGAAGCCCUGAGGUCCAUACCCAAACACUCAGCAGACAGCGGUUUACCUUAAACUGGAGGUCAUUGAUAAAAAUCGCCUACAGAGAUAAUACACAUUACCAAACAGGGCAUGAGUGCUGGUGUUACUCCCCACCUGAAGGCGGCCCUAUGGGGCGUAACACCGGCACUUUGACCUAUUAAAGUAACAACAACACCUAAGUUUAACAUGUGACUUACGAUAACUAAAAACAAAAAAUUAAAUAAUUAACCAAGACGCAACUAAAGAACAAAUUAACAAGACAACUACAACACAAAGAUCCAAAACCACAAAUGAGAGACAGCAGGGCAGUAGAUCCCCACUAAAUGCCUCUCCCAACUGCAGGCAGCUGUGGGCCUUUAAACUCUGAGGCUCAGGUGAGGCUGAUUUCCAAUCAUAGACUUCAUCAAAAAAUGAUGGCGCAGUCUAAACUCCAGUGUGGUUGUUUUUUAUAUACAUCGACUCCUCAAAAACAGCAAACGGCGGCAAAAAUAUUUACAGUGCAGGAAACAAAACAAAACAAAAAAAUAGGCAAAUAAAUAAUGUACUUACAAGUUUCCAGAAGGACUUAAACUUCUUUACUUGUAACCCAUGAUGCCAUGGGGCCAAGAGCUCCCCUCAGAGUGAGCAAAACGCUCUUUAAAUACCCCUUAGCCCCUCCCCUGGGCAAAUCCAUAAACCAAUUAUAGGGGUUUAAGACACAAUAAGCAAAAUUCAACACAAAAUCAUCAAUAAAUCAGACAUUUCAACAUGGACAAAAAACGCACUAAUGGCCUUCCAUACAGCCUCGAUCUUAAUCAUUGAAAACACAUUAAAUCAGACCAAAACACCAUAGGUGAACUAUACUGGUAUGGUCCGGCGGUCACAUGACCCCCAAAAUCGCGCAACCAUGCGCUAUUUACUGAGGGACCAGGUAGUGCUUCGGUUUGGCGUAGAAGAUGGCAGCAUGUAAGUGAGUGUGUGUCUCUCUGUGUGUAGUUGUCGAUUGUGCACUCUCAAACGCCGACAACGGGGAGAAAAGAGUCCAGGUAAAAAGUGUAACGGUUGGUUAAAGUGCAGGACCGCGGGGCCGGCAGGGAAACAGUUAAACAGUUUGACGGAGCUUGGCUUCCUGUGGAACAAGUGCGCUACGUGCGCGUUCCCGGCACCGUCACUCUCAGGCCGCGAGACAGAGACCCGCGCCAGUCGGAGAAUGACGCGGCGUGUAACUGCGCUCCGCCACAGUGUAGCUUGGGGAGAGGACGAAAGUGAAUGGUUUUUGGAAAUUUGGAACAAGAGAGCAUAAAUGCACAACUAUAUACUACCUACCGUCAUGAAAAAUGUCUUUGAAGAGGUUUUAGAGGAUGAAAGCGGCUGGUUAAAAUCAAACAUUUGUACAGAGCAGAGUUCAUCACACCUGAACUGGACCAGAAAGAGAACCUGGUCCUCUUUGAAAUGAACUCACAAUAUGAACGCACAAAAGAACCAGUUCCUUUGCUUUCAGUCCACUUUUUGGCCCACUUAAAGAAGACUGAGUUUGGUUCUCUUAAAAGGGACCAAGAGUGAAAACAACCCAAAAUUAUGUCUAGAUAUUGGUCAAAUGUAGGGCUGGGCGAUACGGGAAAUUUUUUUAUCACAAUGUAUUUUUUUCAUAUUAGUUGAUAUCUAUCUAACACAAUAUUAAAAAAGGAAAUUUAACAGUGCUUAUUGGUAGCAUGUCUUUUGCAAUACAGUAAGCUACUGCAUCUGGGAGGUGUGUCUCUUUGACGAUUUGUCAUAAGGCGUUGCGCUAGAGACAUGGUAGAAUGCCUGUUAGAAAGCCCAUGUUGUUUAGGUGUUUUCAAGUAAAUACUGUGUGUGAGAUGCCUCAGCUGCAAAAGUUUAGUUUUCUCCUCAUGCAGCAGAGGAUAGUUUGUAAAUUUCCUCGUACCUGUUUUUAUCCAAUAUGCACCUUCACAUUCCAGGUUUAUUGGUUGUAAAUCCCAGGAGUGAGUUUUAUGAUGUGUUACUGUCUAAGUCGGGUGCUAUAUUGUGUGACUGUAUUGUUGACCGUGAAUAUGGCUAAUGCUUUUUCAUGCUACUCGAUGUUCAUGUUAUGUAUGGUGUGAGCUGUACUGAUUGUUGCUUUGUAUUUUUAUCUGCCGAACUACAAUCAAAUAAAUCCACCACUAAACUGGACAUCUGUAUCCUGUCUUUUAACGGGGACACACCAUACACCUUGGCGCUAUAACCCAGCAAAGUCCUGUAGAACGCCCUUUUCUCCUUUUUUUUAUGCCGACUAUCGAAAAGGCAUAUCGACCAUGUUUUGUAUCGAUAUCAAGGAAAAUUUAUUUUUCGAUAUCGUUAUUAUUUUAUCGCCCAGCAGUACCACAACACCACACAACCCCAAAGCACACGCCUACCCAACAAAUGGAUGAUGAGAACAAUUCACACAAACACAUAUAGCUGCUGUCCUUGCUUGCUUUCAUUUUCAUUCACAUUGUUUUAUUCUUUUCCAUUGGUUACAGUCAUCCCUGAUGAGGAAAUAAUGGUUGUACCAUUAGACAACAUGGACCUGACACCAUCUACAUCAACAGAAGACAGCUCCUCCACUUCAUCGCAGGACAAUGCUGCUCAUGGCCACUUGCCUCGGUAAGCUGAUCAGUUUCACGGCACACAUUUGCAUCUACAUUGAACAUUACCAAAACAUAUUUCUACACCCCCCACCCUCACCACCCACAAACUUUAUCGCCCACCAACUUCUCCAUCCAGGUCCCACACCCUCCUACCAUGUAGUAACAUCUUACAGCACCGGCAUGGACUUCUGACAAAUUUUGAUUCAGCUGCUUCUACAAUUAAACAUACAACACAUUUAAUGAUUGCAGUCCCAAACUUUCAAAGACUUCAGUGUAGCCACAUUCUGCCUACACAGUCACAGUUGCAUUGUACUACACAUCUUCUCAGACACAGACACAAGCUUGCACUAUCAAAUCUUUUGAUAAAUUGCUUUCUUACAGUAAACUGUGACUGUAGCAUAUUGUUACAUUCAUCACCACAAACACUUGCAUCACUAACACAGUGCCAACCGCCAUUUGCACAUGGAUUAAUGCACAACCUCAUGACUGCCUGCAUGGGAAACCACAACACCCCAUCUCCACCCCUGUGUACCACCACCCUAAUGCACUGCCCCUUCUUGCACUGAUAUCCCUGGUGUGUUGUGCUCCAUGGCAGCUAUCUAAUUUUGUGUUGGCAGGAAGUUGUGCCUGCCUUAGAGUGUUGUGGGUGAUUUUAGGCCAACAUGCCGUCCAGCACUAUUCUUGCAAAUGUUGGUGUACAUUUUGUGCAUGAACACAAUAUUGACCGAUUGUAUGGCCUUCGUUUAAUUUGAAAUAGUCUGCAAGAGCCUCUUAGCCUACCUUUCAAAUGGGUUAUUUUCUCAUUCCCUCUGUUCCUCUUUCACUGAGUCCUUUUUUAAUUUCUUUAUCAUUUAACCUUCUCUUUACUUUGAGUUUAUUCUUAACAAUGUGCCAACAUUUUGGGUUUAUAUUUAUCUUCUGUUGAUGUGAAGCCCUUCUUUCGAAUGAAAAGCACUAUACCACCAAAGGAGCCUUGCAAUGGAUGCAUGGGUCUGAAACUUGUCUGUUGCUAGGCUAUAUGUCUCCAUGUCCAGAUUAAAUAAGUUAAAGGACAUUCAGUGUGUUUUACUGAGUGUUUUUAGCUUCAGCAAGAACCAACAAGAACAUAUGUUUUGAUCUUUUUUGGAUAAUGCAAAGUAGUCACGAGACAAGUGUGGCAAAAACAACUAUGCAGGACUUGAGUUCAGUUCUUCAGGGGACGUUAAAAGAAAAAAAGUAAUAAUAAAAUCUGUUUGUUAUUUCCUGUCCUGACAGUAGAGCCUGCACUGGAAGCCUCUUUACUGAGGAGCCCUGCAGGCAGACCACUCACAUCUUGACAUUAAGCAUUAUUCACCUUGCCCUCACAUCCUGAACUCCAUCUGAUUUAUUUAUGUUUGCAUUUUUCCCUUUCAACAUUUCAACACUAAGACCCAGGCUGUCUCAGCAGAGGAAGUGUACAAAAAAAAAAAAAAAAAGGUUGCCUGUUUUUUCCCUCCUUCAUCCAAAGGUAUUAGAUGAAGGAAUGAAUGAAUGAAGGAAAUGCUUAAUUCAGAAAAUCAGGCUAAUUCACGUGAGCCUACCAUAGUCUGGCAACCCUGUUGGGAAGCACAGGGGAGAGAUAAUGGCUUCUGUCUACAGUACAUUGUAGAACAUGAGAGUCUGUCAGUGCCUCAUGCAGUUUUUGUCUGGGUUGAAGGACAUAGCUGUAAUUUGGUUGCCAAAUUGAUCUAAAGGGAAAAUGAUGAGAGGCUGUUUUAAAUUUCUUUGGAGGAGUUUUGAUUUUCUUGACGGGAUAUUCGCUGUUGAAGAGUCAACUACAAGCAAGAUAUUAAUAGAAGAACCAAACGCAGGCAUUUUUUCUUUUUAAAUUUCAAUUUUACCAUGAGUAUUUUGUUUACAUAAGAGACUAAACAUAUCUUUCCAAACUACCUGAGUCAACUGAGCUCAUACUAGAAAUUGUCAGCUCUACUCUGGUCUACUGGUCCCUGUGCUCUUUGUACCUGAUACUUUUGUUAAAGCAUUCUGAAGUGAGGAAACUGAAAUUAUCACUGAGAAAAACUGAACAUCCUGAGCUCACCUAGAGCUGAUGUAAAAUUAAUAAAGGCAUUUCACACCAACUGUGCAAAGCAAAUGUGUUUGUUUUGUCUGUCACAUUUAAUGGUCUUUGUCCCUCGGGGGGAACUCCUGCUGCGCUAACCUGUUUCCUGAUUGAGAUGUAUCUUUGUUGGUUUUCAUAUUCAAGUUUAACUGCGCUCUCAAAUCAUUCCUGCCUAAUUUCAGUGUGCCAUUCUCUGUGUUUAUUCAGGGCUAACGCCUAGUCUUGGAUCGGAUGACAAAAUGAAGAGACAGGCUGACACUGGGCUGUCAGGGUGAUGCCAAGCCAUCUGCUCCUCAGGAGCUUCAGAGCGGGAGAGAGGUGUGCAGGAUCAGAGAAGAAAAGAGUAAGAAACCCAUCACUAACACCAAAAACUGAAUUUUGCCUCACCCACAAUCCCCAAGAAGUUGAAUUUAACAUAGCAAAACACAAAAAUAGCUUGAAAUAUAAAAAGGCAGCGUUAGAAAUUCUAAUGCAAAGCUGCUGGCUCUUGCAAAAUAAGCAAAAUCUUACUCAGAUUUGGUGUUACUCAUGGAACCCUGAAGAGAAUCCCAGAUGGCAGCACCUCAGCAGUCCUGAGUCAUCUGGUGUGCAGAUAAAGGUCACACCACAAGAACUGGAGAGAAAGCGGGCAGACUCCAAUUUUAUAAAUGUUCAUUUUUUAACUUCGUAGUCCUCAUUCGCUUCAAGUUCAAUGUGUUAAAAAGGAUGAUACAAAAAGGUCGUGAUAGCCAGCAUUGCAGCCAGUGUAGUAACAUCCUUUUUUUCUUGAAAAGAGACAUUCUAAGAGGUAAUCUCUGGUUAAAUCAGAUCAUCAAAUUGUUGGAAAAUAAAAACAGGAAAACAGCAAAAAUAGUUCAACACAAGAAGCCUAUUUAGCCAACCCCA
Molecule: long non-coding RNA, 5929 nt
Filed under: Xyrichtys novacula (pearly razorfish)
Lineage: Eukaryota; Metazoa; Chordata; Actinopteri; Labriformes; Labridae
Source: RNAcentral